RNAcentral lists this ribosomal RNA (1730 nucleotides) under Shigella dysenteriae. RNAcentral's name for it is "partial 23S ribosomal RNA". It matches the Rfam family "Bacterial large subunit ribosomal RNA", at positions 1234 to 2925 of the family's 2925-position model. Lineage: Bacteria; Pseudomonadati; Pseudomonadota; Gammaproteobacteria; Enterobacterales; Enterobacteriaceae. The record is from RNAcentral.
GAGCGUUCUGUAAGCCUGUGAAGGUGUACUGUGAGGUAUGCUGGAGGUAUCAGAAGUGCGAAUGCUGACAUAAGUAACGAUAAAGCGGGUGAAAAGCCCGCUCGCCGGAAGACCAAGGGUUCCUGUCCAACGUUAAUCGGGGCAGGGUGAGUCGACCCCUAAGGCGAGGCCGAAAGGCGUAGUCGAUGGGAAACAGGUUAAUAUUCCUGUACUUGGUGUUACUGCGAAGGGGGGACGGAGAAGGCUAUGUUGGCCGGGCGACGGUUGUCCCGGUUUAAGCGUGUAGGCUGGUUUUCCAGGCAAAUCCGGAAAACUAAGGCUGAGGCGUGAUGACGAGGCACUACGGUGCUGAAGCAACAAAUGCCCUGCUUCCAGGAAAAGCCUCUAAGCAUCAGGUAACAUCAAAUCGUACCCCAAACCGACACAGGUGGUCAGGUAGAGAAUACCAAGGCGCUUGAGAGAACUCGGGUGAAGGAACUAGGCAAAAUGGUGCCGUAACUUCGGGAGAAGGCACGCUGAUAUGUAGGUGAAGUCCCUCGCGGAUGGAGCUGAAAUCAGUCGAAGAUACCAGCUGGCUGCAACUGUUUAUUAAAAACACAGCACUGUGCAAACACGAAAGUGGACGUAUACGGUGUGACGCCUGCCCGGUGCCGGAAGGUUAAUUGAUGGGGUCAGCGCAAGCGAAGCUCUUGAUCGAAGCCCCGGUAAACGGCGGCCGUAACUAUAACGGUCCUAAGGUAGCGAAAUUCCUUGUCGGGUAAGUUCCGACCUGCACGAAUGGCGUAAUGAUGGCCAGGCUGUCUCCACCCGAGACUCAGUGAAAUUGAACUCGCUGUGAAGAUGCAGUGUACCCGCGGCAAGACGGAAAGACCCCGUGAACCUUUACUAUAGCUUGACACUGAACAUUGAGCCUUGAUGUGUAGGAUAGGUGGGAGGCUUUGAAGUGUGGACGCCAGUCUGCAUGGAGCCGACCUUGAAAUACCACCCUUUAAUGUUUGAUGUUCUAACGUUGACCCGUAAUCCGGGUUGCGGACAGUGUCUGGUGGGUAGUUUGACUGGGGCGGUCUCCUCCUAAAGAGUAACGGAGGAGCACGAAGGUUGGCUAAUCCUGGUCGGACAUCAGGAGGUUAGUGCAAUGGCAUAAGCCAGCUUGACUGCGAGCGUGACGGCGCGAGCAGGUGCGAAAGCAGGUCAUAGUGAUCCGGUGGUUCUGAAUGGAAGGGCCAUCGCUCAACGGAUAAAAGGUACUCCGGGGAUAACAGGCUGAUACCGCCCAAGAGUUCAUAUCGACGGCGGUGUUUGGCACCUCGAUGUCGGCUCAUCACAUCCUGGGGCUGAAGUAGGUCCCAAGGGUAUGGCUGUUCGCCAUUUAAAGUGGUACGCGAGCUGGGUUUAGAACGUCGUGAGACAGUUCGGUCCCUAUCUGCCGUGGGCGCUGGAGAACUGAGGGGGGCUGCUCCUAGUACGAGAGGACCGGAGUGGACGCAUCACUGGUGUUCGGGUUGUCAUGCCAAUGGCACUGCCCGGUAGCUAAAUGCGGAAGAGAUAAGUGCUGAAAGCAUCUAAGCACGAAACUUGCCCCGAGAUGAGUUCUCCCUGACUCCUUGAGAGUCCUGAAGGAACGUUGAAGACGACGACGUUGAUAGGCCGGGUGUGUAAGCGCAGCGAUGCGUUGAGCUAACCGGUACUAAUGAACCGUGAGGCUUAACCUUACAACGCCGAAGGUGUUU